RNAcentral lists this ribosomal RNA (238 nucleotides) under uncultured bacterium. RNAcentral describes it as "partial 16S ribosomal RNA". It matches the Rfam family "Bacterial small subunit ribosomal RNA", at positions 334 to 589 of the family's 1533-position model. The record is from RNAcentral.
GUGGCCUACGGGACGCAGCAGUGGGGGAUAUUGCACAAUGGGGGAAACCCUGAUGCAGCGACGCCGCGUGAGCGAUGAAGUAUUUCGGUAUGUAAAGCUCUAUCAGCAGGGAAGAAAAUGACGGUACCUGACUAAGAAGCCCCGGCUAACUACGUGCCAGCAGCCGCGGUAAUACGUAGGGGGCACGCGCUAUCCGGCUUUACUGGGUGUAACGGGAGCGCAGCCGGCAGCGCAAGUC